This 253-nucleotide ribosomal RNA is filed under the name uncultured bacterium. RNAcentral's name for it is "partial 16S ribosomal RNA". It matches the Rfam family "Bacterial small subunit ribosomal RNA", at positions 524 to 776 of the family's 1533-position model. The record is from RNAcentral.
UACGAAGGGGGCUAGCGUUGCUCGGAAUCACUGGGCGUAAAGCGCACGUAGGCGGAUUGUUAAGUCAGGGGUGAAAUCCUGGAGCUCAACUCCAGAACUGCCUUUGAUACUGGCGAUCUCGAGUCCGGGAGAGGUGAGUGGAACUGCGAGUGUAGAGGUGAAAUUCGUAGAUAUUCGCAAGAACACCAGUGGCGAAGGCGGUUCUCUGGGCCUGACCUGACGCUGAGGAGCGAAAGCGUGGGGAGCGAACAGG